RNAcentral lists this ribosomal RNA (253 nucleotides) under uncultured bacterium. Its description in RNAcentral is "partial 16S ribosomal RNA". It matches the Rfam family "Bacterial small subunit ribosomal RNA", at positions 524 to 776 of the family's 1533-position model. The record is from RNAcentral.
UACGUAGGGUGCGAGCGUUAAUCGGAAUUACUGGGCGUAAAGCGUGCGCAGGCGGUUCGCCAAGUCAGGUGUGAAAUCCCCGGGCUUAACCUGGGAAUUGCGCUUGAAACUAGCGGGCUUGAGUGUGGCAGAGGGGGGUGGAAUUCCACGUGUAGCAGUGAAAUGCGUAGAGAUGUGGAGGAACACCGAUGGCGAAGGCAGCCCCCUGGGUCAAGACUGACGCUCAUGCACGAAAGCGUGGGGAGCAAACAGG